Hemicordylus capensis (graceful crag lizard) is the source of this 639-nucleotide non-coding RNA. The record is from the annotation of a RefSeq genome assembly. NCBI's taxonomy places the organism in Eukaryota, Metazoa, Chordata, Lepidosauria, Squamata, Cordylidae.
AUGGUACAAACUAUAUUCUGUGUUUUUCCCCUUGCAGGUGUCCAGUCCCAGAUCCAGUUUGUCCAGUCUGGUCCUGAAGUUAAAAGGCCUGGAGAGUCAGUGAAACUGACCUGUAGGGCAUCUGGAUACACAUUUACCAGCUAUUCUAUGCACUGGAUCAGACAGGCACCAGGCAAAGGACUGGAGUGGGUUGGACGUAUUUUUACAAGUAACUUUGAAACACUCUAUCUUAAGGCUCUUGAAGGUCGAGUCACUAUCACCGUGGACACCUCCAUUAGCACCACAUAUCUGCAGCUGACGGGCUUAAAAGCUGAAGACACUGCUGUCUAUUACUGUGCAAGACUCACAGUGGUGAAAAAACAAAGUGAUGGUGCAAGCCCCACUGGGGAGCUGUUUGGCCGGGGGACAACCUGUGUCAUGCACUGCUAUAACAUGUACUGGAUUCGACAGGCUCCAGGAAAAGGGCUGGAAUGGAUCAUUUAUUACUAUUCACCCACUGACAACAGCUACUCCCCAACCAUCCAGGGCCGAUUCUCUGCCUCCAAGGACUCUUCCAACUUCUACCUGCAAAUGAACAGCCUGAAGCAAGAAGACACAGCCAUGUAUUACUGUGCCAGAGAUGCACAGUGGUGGAAAUAG